AACGAACGCUGGCGGCAUGCCUAACACAUGCAAGUCGAACGAGACCUUCGGGCCUAGUGGCGCACGGGUGCGUAACGCGUGGGAACCUGCCUUUAGGUUCGGAAUAACUCAGAGAAAUUUGAGCUAAUACCGGAUAAUGUCUUCGGACCAAAGAUUUAUCGCCUUUAGAUGGGCCCGCGUUGGAUUAGCUAGUUGGUGGGGUAAAGGCCUACCAAGGCGACGAUCCAUAGCUGGUCUGAGAGGAUGAUCAGCCACACUGGGACUGAGGCACGGCCCAGACUCCUACGGGAGGCAGCAGUGGGGAAUAUUGGACAAUGGGCGAAAGCCUGAUCCAGCAAUGCCGCGUGAGUGAUGAAGGCCUUAGGGUUGUAAAGCUCUUUUACCCGAGAUGAUAAUGACAGUAUCGGGAGAAUAAGCUCCGGCUAACUCCGUGCCAGCCGCCGCAGUAA
RNAcentral lists this ribosomal RNA (449 nucleotides) under uncultured bacterium. Its description in RNAcentral is "partial 16S ribosomal RNA". It matches the Rfam family "Bacterial small subunit ribosomal RNA", at positions 29 to 523 of the family's 1533-position model. The record is from RNAcentral.